RNAcentral lists this transfer RNA (74 nucleotides) under Rhizoctonia solani AG-1 IB. RNAcentral describes it as "tRNA-His". It matches the Rfam family "tRNA". Rfam says of the family: Transfer RNA (tRNA) molecules are approximately 80 nucleotides in length. Their secondary structure includes four short double-helical elements and three loops (D, anti-codon, and T loops). Lineage: Eukaryota; Fungi; Basidiomycota; Agaricomycetes; Cantharellales; Ceratobasidiaceae. The record is from RNAcentral.
GCUCCUAUGGUCUAGUGGUUAUGACGCUUCGUUGUGGAACCGAAGCAGCCUGUGUUCGAUUCACGGUGGGGGCA